UGAGCCUGGAAAACAAAUGCAAUCAACAGUGAAUGCACCUCAAAACACUUUUAGUAGGCCAAGUGACUCACAAACGUUCUCGCAAAGAAUAUAAAACCUUUUCAUUUCCCUGGCACUUUUCCAGUCUGUAUUCUUUGUUUGUUGGUUGACCAGGCCUUUUGCAUUCAUGUCUUAGAGCGGCAGUAGAGGAGAGAAUUGGGGGUUUAAACAGUCAACACUGUGGUAUUUGUAAACUCUAGAAAACUGCUUCAGAAAUCAUGGUAGUACUUAUUCUAAAUAUUUCUGAUGAAUACCCCAAAGAGUUAGUGUGAUGGAAACACAUUGGAAUGUGCUUGUGUUGACCCCUAGCAAGUGAAUCUUGGUUAUACAUCAACAGGAGAAAACUCUUUUGUUGAAGACCUUGGGCUCAUGGUACAUCGGGCUCAGCGUCUACAGGGCUUCAGCUCUGAAAAUAUCUGUUGUCACAGAAGAGCAACCAAACUUCUCUCUCGCUUUUGUGGUUUUAGGUAAAGUGAUGAUUUCUGGGUCAGACACCAGCAGAGUGUCUUACAGAAAUAUUAGCCGAGGUCCAGAGCAAAUGAAGCAAGCUGACUCCACCUCGUCGCGGGGGCGACUUGUUACGCUGACGUUACGGCGGGUGGUUGGUGGUGUGGUAUCCGUGCGGGUUCGCUCCCCCGCCGUACCGUUCUCCUCCCGGCCGUGGGCGUCAGCGCGGCACGCCUGUACUGCAGCUCUUCCUGCCAGCGUGGUCAAGCAGCGCGGAGGCCAGCGUGGACUGCAGAACCUGCCUGAGAAGCUGGCUGUCUCCUCGAGCAAUUAACCGGGGUGGAGCCUGCAGCAAAGCCGUACCCAGCGUCUGAGCCGCUCAGCUGAGAGCUGGCAGGCAUCAGUUCGUAGAGCUGCCGUGUCAGUCGUGUGGGUAUGAGCAGAUCAAUGCUUCCGAUGGUUUUGAAAGGAUCUCGGCUGUUGCUGAGAGACUUUGACUCAUCAAGGACUUCAUCUAAUUGACUGACUACAAGGGAGCUGUUCCCUACUAUGGAACCACCAAGAAGGUAUCACCACAGUUAGGGAUCCAAAUCCUGCUCCCACGGACACUGAAGCUUUCAGAAGAAUGGCUCUGUUUUUACACUGAUUUGAAUGACAGCAGGGUUGUCUAUCUGUUUACCUGGUUUUCAGAGAUGACACCUAUAUGGCCCAUAACUGUGCACAUAAUACUAAUGAGAGCACUCAUGAUCCCAUUUUUAUUUGUGUAGAGUAGUUGAACGUGUAGUUGAAAGGCUACAGACAGAAUGAGAGGCUCUGUGUUUGCUGCGGUGUUAAUUGAAAACAAAUAUCAGUUUCAGAGGUAUGUGAAAUUUCAACUUUAUAGAAUUGCACAGGGUCCAGUUGCCUAAAGGUUUUACUGGAUGGCAACCCAAUGAUGUGGUCAGGGAUAUGGAAUAUAAUUGUUAGUUAGGUAGCACGUUCUGAUGUUCUGAAUGUGAAAGCUUCACAUUGAACAUUUGACAUGGCUGUUAAUCUGUGUGAGUCUUCCUUUUCUCUUCCAGGAGCAGAUGGUGUCAAUUCUUGGGUAACUUACGUUAUUUUACCUCCCUUUAAAGUGAAGAAGCAGCUGAG
This is a long non-coding RNA of Aquila chrysaetos chrysaetos, 1617 nucleotides long. RefSeq lists it as uncharacterized. The transcript has 3 exons. NCBI's taxonomy places the organism in Eukaryota, Metazoa, Chordata, Aves, Accipitriformes, Accipitridae. The record is from RefSeq and is a predicted model, not a curated record.